CCUACGGGAGGCAGCAGUGAGGAAUAUUGGUCAAUGGACGAGAGUCUGAACCAGCCAAGUAGCAUGAAGGAUGACUGCCCUAUGGGUUGUAAACUUCUUUUAUAUGGGAAUAAAACGUUCCACGUGUGGGAUUUUGUAUGUACCAUAUGAAUAAGGAUCGGCUAACUCCGUGCCAGCAGCCGCGGUAAUACGGAGGAUCCGAGCGUUAUCAGGAUUUAUUGGGUUUAAAGGGAGCGUAGGUGGAUUGUUAAGUCAGUUGUGAAAGUUUGCGGCUCAACCGUAAAAUUGCAGUUGAAACUGGCAGUCUUGAGUACAGUAGAGGUGGGCGGAAUUCGUGGUGUAGCGGUGAAAUGCUUAGAUAUCACGAAGAACUUCGAUUGCGAAGGCAGUUCACUGGACUGCAACUGACACUGAGGCUCGAAAGUGUGGGUAUCAAACAGGAUUAGAUACCCUUGUAGUC
This 460-nucleotide ribosomal RNA is filed under the name uncultured bacterium. RNAcentral describes it as "partial 16S ribosomal RNA". It matches the Rfam family "Bacterial small subunit ribosomal RNA", at positions 338 to 795 of the family's 1533-position model. The record is from RNAcentral.